RNAcentral lists this transfer RNA (68 nucleotides) under Marmota monax (woodchuck). RNAcentral's name for it is "tRNA.Ala". The stretch from base 5 to 65 matches the Rfam family "tRNA", at positions 6 to 65 of the family's 71-position model. From Rfam's summary of the family: Transfer RNA (tRNA) molecules are approximately 80 nucleotides in length. Lineage: Eukaryota; Metazoa; Chordata; Mammalia; Rodentia; Sciuridae. The record is from RNAcentral.
GGUUUGUGGCUCAAUGGUAAAGCACUCACCUAGCAUGUGUGAGGCCCUGGGUUCAAUUCUCAGCACCA